RNAcentral lists this ribosomal RNA (460 nucleotides) under uncultured bacterium. RNAcentral describes it as "partial 16S ribosomal RNA". It matches the Rfam family "Bacterial small subunit ribosomal RNA", at positions 338 to 795 of the family's 1533-position model. The record is from RNAcentral.
UCUACGGGAGGCAGCAGUGAGGAAUAUUGGUCAAUGGGCGUAAGCCUGAACCAGCCAAGUCGCGUGAGGGAUGAAGGUUCUAUGGAUCGUAAACCUCUUUUAUAAGGGAAUAAAGUGUGGGACGUGUCCUAUUUUGUAUGUACCUUAUGAAUAAGGAUCGGCUAACUCCGUGCCAGCAGCCGCGGCAAUACGGGGGAUCCGAGCGUUAUCCGGCUUUAUUGGGGUUAAAGGGUGAGUAGGCGGCCGUUUAAGUCAGCGGUGAAAGUCUGUGGCUCAAACAUCGAGUUGCCGUUGAAACUGGGUGGCUUGAGUAUGUUUGAGGCAGGCGGAAUGCGUGGUGUAGCGGUGAAAUGCUUAGAUAUCACGCAGAACCCCGAUUGCGAAGGCAGCCUGCCAAGCCAUGACUGACGCUGAUGCACGAAAGCGUGGGGAUCAAACAGGAUUAGAUACCCGAGUAGUC